Molecule: long non-coding RNA, 1252 nt
Organism: Phacochoerus africanus (Common warthog)
Lineage: Eukaryota; Metazoa; Chordata; Mammalia; Artiodactyla; Suidae
Exons: 2
Source: RefSeq, a predicted model, not a curated record
CAAAAAGAAAGACAAAAGACAAAAAAAUAAAUAAAUAAAUAAAGUUGAUCAGAAAACAUGGAUUUACAUGCCUUCACCAUCCUGGUUGCCUGGUGAACAACAGGCUUAGCAUGUCUGGGCCUCAGUUUCCCCAUCUGUAAAAUAAAGAGGUUUGAUUUCAUGAUCUUUAAGGUCAUUUUAAUGCCAAUGUUCUGUGUUAAACUCAGGAACCCCUGCAAAGAUGUCCACAUACAUUUCUAAGCAGGGGACGUCCCCCUCCCCUAAAUGUUCCUGUAGCAUUUAUCUGCUGACGGUAGAAAAUGGAGACAUUUAUUUAUUCAAUUUCUCUUCCUCCAACAAAUAGUUUCUGAGUGCCACGAUGUUCCAGGUAAGACCCAUCAAGGGUCUCCUGUUCUAUUCCCAGCUCUGGCAGGAAGCAGGCAGGGAGAGUGGACUGGGUGCCUGGGGGACCCUCUAGCAUCCAUGGGAGCUUGUACCUGUGCCAAGCGCAUUUUAAAAAGGCAAGAGUCAUGGGAAAUGUCGCCCUGAUGAACCUCAUCUGUGGCGGGAGGGUGACGGAGGGGAGGGAGGCGUCGAGGCCGGGCCUAAACCUGGUCCCUGGAGGAGGGUGAUGGGAUGGGGGAAUGCAGGUUUCGCCCUCAGCUUUCUCAGGAUUUAUUUCGUUCGCAGGAUGUGACUCCCAGGCCAGACUGCUCAUUGCUUUCUCCUGAACCUAAGUCUGUCAGCAAAUCUGGUUGGCAGGCGCCUCUGCUACUUGAAUUUUGCAGAGACCAGCCUCAUUGAACUCACCCAAACACUGUCAACAUGUGAAGGCAGGGUGGAGAGAAUGCAAAUACUAAUGAGGCUUGUGAGAUAUCAAAUUCCACAGAGUCUGGGUCAUAGAGAAGCUGAAUCUAUCAGCCGUUCUCCUAGGACAUCUGGCUAAUCCGUUAACUUGCACCACCAGUUAUGAGCCCUCUUUCCACCUGGUUAUUUCGGAGACCACGGUCUUGACCGGCCCUUCCUCAUUUUGGUGCAGUUCCUUCACUUCUGGAAAUCUCUGACUACUCACCAUACACUUACCUGCUCUUUUCAACUCAUAAUCAGAUAUACUGAACUUCAGUUAGGAAACAGAACCCCGUAUAUGCCAAACUUACCUACUUACUGAAACAUCCUUUUUAAAAAUCCUUUCUUUGAAUUAUACCUAGAUUUGUCAUUACACAUAAUAUUAAUUUUCCUUUUUGAUCAUUAAAGAUUCAUGGCUUUUCACAGA